Molecule: small nucleolar RNA, 121 nt
Filed under: Echinops telfairi (small Madagascar hedgehog)
Lineage: Eukaryota; Metazoa; Chordata; Mammalia; Afrosoricida; Tenrecidae
Description: Small nucleolar RNA SNORA61 (ENSETEG00000024131.1)
Source: RNAcentral
ACCUUUCAGUUUCCUUCUCCAUCAGUUCUAAACACUGGUCUGAAUGGUUACAAAAGUAAGAAAAGUAACCAUGAAAUUUAUUUCAAAGCUUUUAUAGCAUAUGGGUUUAUUUCAAGCUGUU